RNAcentral lists this long non-coding RNA (442 nucleotides) under Lynx pardinus (Iberian lynx). Lineage: Eukaryota; Metazoa; Chordata; Mammalia; Carnivora; Felidae. The record is from RNAcentral.
UUGCUUCUUCGGAAACCUACUUUCAGAAACCCCUCGAAAGCUCUGUUUUACAAGUUAACAUAAUGGGCAUGUGGCAAUGCCUCUCCGUCCACCAGGGGGCAGAAAGGAACCCUUUGAUUGGCCAGAGAUCUUUGGACUUCGACUUUGAUUUUGAACAGUUGUCAUUUGCAUAACCUUUUCCCUGUUAGAGAUCACUCACUACAGACAGAUCCAUAUAGACUUCUCGAAGAACGCCCCUGAUUCUGUGUUACACUCUAACCUUCACUUUACCUGUAAACUUACUUUACACUAAGUAAAUGUUGCACUGAGGUGCUGGGUGUUACAUUUGACGAUCUUCAUACCUCGGCGGAUUUGUUUUUUGAGGUACGGGAGGCGCUCUCCUUAGUGUCUGUGAGACUCGUUGGCGUGUAACCGUCCCACCCUUACAAGAACACAGAAACAG